Molecule: unclassified non-coding RNA, 147 nt
Organism: Pongo abelii (Sumatran orangutan)
Lineage: Eukaryota; Metazoa; Chordata; Mammalia; Primates; Hominidae
Rfam family: Metazoan signal recognition particle RNA
About the family: The signal recognition particle (SRP) is a universally conserved ribonucleoprotein.
Source: Ensembl
GCUGGGCGUGGUGGUGCACGCCUGUAGUCCCAGCUACUCGGGAGGCUGAGACAGGAGAAUUGCUUGAACCCCGGAGGUGGAGUUGCAGUGAGCCGAGAUUGGGCCACUGCACCCCAGCCUGGGCAACAGAGCAAGACUCUGUCUCAA